UACGGAAGGCAGCAGUGGGGAAUAUUGCACAAUGGGCGCAAGCCUGAUGCAGCCAUGCCGCGUGUAUGAAGAAGGCCUUCGGGUUGUAAAGUACUUUUCAGUCGUGAGGAAGGUGUUAAGGUUAAUAACCUUAGCAAUUGACGUUAGCGACAGAAGAAGCACCGGCUAACUCCGUGCCAGCAGCCGCGGUAAUACGGAGGGUGCGAGCGUUAAUCGGAAUUACUGGGCGUAAAGGGCACGCAGGCGGUUAAUUAAGUUGGAUGUGAAAUCCCCGGGCUUAACCUGGGAAUGGCAUUCAAGACUGGUUAGCUAGAGUCUUGUAGAGGGGGUAGAAUUCCAUGUGUAGCGGUGAAAUGCGUAGAGAUGUGGAGGAAUACCGGUGGCGAAGGCGGCCCCUGGACAAAGGACUGACGCUCAUGUGCGAAAGCGUGGGGAGCGAAACAGGGAUUAGAUACC
This 456-nucleotide ribosomal RNA is filed under the name uncultured bacterium. Its description in RNAcentral is "bacterial SSU rRNA". It matches the Rfam family "Bacterial small subunit ribosomal RNA", at positions 340 to 786 of the family's 1533-position model. The record is from RNAcentral.